Ribosomal RNA from Coffea eugenioides, 119 nucleotides. The record is from RefSeq and is a predicted model, not a curated record. NCBI's taxonomy places the organism in Eukaryota, Viridiplantae, Streptophyta, Magnoliopsida, Gentianales, Rubiaceae.
GGGUGCGAUCAUACCAGCACUAAUGCACCGGAUCCCAUCAGAACUCCGAAGUUAAGCGUGCUUGGGCGUGAGCAGUAUUAGGACGGGUGACCCCCUGGGAAUUCCUGUUGUUGCACCCC